AGAGUUUGAUCCUGGCUCAGGAUGAAUGCUGGCGGCGUGCCUAACACAUGCAAGUCGAGCGGCAGCGCGGGUAGUUUACUACCUGGCGGCGAGCGGCGGACGGCUGAGUAACGCGUGGGAACGUGCCCCAAAGUGAGGAAUAACUGCCCGAAAGGGUGGCUAAUGCCGCAUAUGAUCUUCGGAUUAAAGUCUUCGGACGCUUUGGGAGCGGCCUGCGUCGGAUUAGGUUGUUGGUGAGGUAAUGGCUCACCAAGCCGACGAUCCGUAGCUGGUCUGAGAGGAUGAUCAGCCAGACUGGAACUGAGACACGGUCCAGACUCCUACGGGAGGCAGCAGUGAGGAAUCUUCCACAAUGGGCGAAAGCCUGAUGGAGCAACGCCGCGUGCAGGAUGAAGGCCUUCGGGUUGUAAACUGCUUUUAUAAGUGAAGAAUAUGACGGUAACUUAUGAAUAAGCACCGGCUAACUACGUGCCAGCAGCCGCGGUCAUACGUAGGGUGCAAGCAUUAUCCGGAGUGACUGGGCGUAAAGAGUUGCGUAGGUGGUUUGUUAAGCGAGUAGUGAAAUCAGACGGCUCAACCGUACUGGCUAUUACUCGAACUGGCAAACUCGAGAAUGGUAGAGGUAACUGGAAUUUCUUGUGUAGGAGUGAAAUCCGUAGAUAUAAGAAGGAACACCAAUGGCGUAGGCAGGUUACUGGACCAUUUCUGACACUGAGGCACGAAAGCGUGGGGAGCGAACGGGAUUAGAUACCCCGGUAGUCCACGCC
RNAcentral lists this ribosomal RNA (767 nucleotides) under marine metagenome. RNAcentral's name for it is "bacterial SSU rRNA". It matches the Rfam family "Bacterial small subunit ribosomal RNA", at positions 8 to 801 of the family's 1533-position model. The record is from RNAcentral.